This 490-nucleotide ribosomal RNA is filed under the name uncultured bacterium. RNAcentral's name for it is "partial 16S ribosomal RNA". It matches the Rfam family "Bacterial small subunit ribosomal RNA", at positions 30 to 507 of the family's 1533-position model. The record is from RNAcentral.
AUUGAACGCUGGCGGCAGGCCUAACACAUGCAAGUCGAACGGUAACAGGAAGAAGCUUGCUUCUUUGCUGACGAGUGGCGGACGGGUGAGUAAUGUCUGGGAAACUGCCUGGUGGAGGGGGAUAACUACUGGAAACGGUAGCUAAUACCGCAUAACGUCGCAAGACCAAAGAGGGGGACCUUCGGGCCUCUUGCCAUCGGAUGUGCCCAGAUGGGAUUAGCUAGUAGGUGGGGUAACGGCUCACCUAGGCGACGAUCCCUAGCUGGUCUGAGAGGAUGACCAGCCACACUGGAACUGAGACACGGUCCAGACUCCUACGGGAGGCAGCAGUGGGGAAUAUUGCACAAUGGGCGCAAGCCUGAUGCAGCCAUGCCGCGUGUAUGAAGAAGGCCUUCGGGUUGUAAAGUACUUUCAGCGGGGAGGAAGGGAGUAAAGUUAAUACCUUGGCUCAUUGACGUUACCCGCAGAAGAAGCACCGGCUAACUCCGUG